GGCCUGGUCGCUCGCUGCCCCUGCGAACCUGCACCUUCCGCGGCAGUGUAUCCUUCGGGGACGCCGGUCUGCCCCUGGGCGUUGGGGCUUCCGGGCUUGGAGGUUCCCCGAAGGCCUGCCGAGUCCCGGGCGCUGCAGUUCACAAGAGCUGGUGCCGCCAGUAAUUCUUCCUCAGCCGUUAGGAUGCCCCAGGACGGGUGGUUUGGCGGUAGGAGGCUGAGGCUAGUUCCUCCUCUGAUUUUCCUUUCGGCCCGGCAGCCGGGAUGACCGACGGAUUUCCUCAUUUACUACAGGGGUCAGUUCAGUGAUGCCAGAACAACAGAGAGUCCUGAGUAGGUAAAGGGAUUGAAUAUAUUUGACCGGAGCAAUCUACCAACUUCUUGCUGGAUUUCCUUGAGAUUCUUCUGUCUGAAUGUCACAAAAGCCACGUAGGAAGAAAAGAAACAACACAUUGGAUCAAUUGCUGAACUACAGUUCCCAGCAUUCCCCCUUCCAGUACGACCAAUGAUGGGAGAUAUUAGGAGCUAUAGUUCUGCAACUUGUAAAGGAUUCACAUAACUUUUCCUUUACCCAUCAGACCACUACAAAGAUCCCUUACUUUCUCAGGAUGCUGGGCUUUCUGUUUGACCAAAAAAAUUAUAAAAGAUAAAGAACUUUGUAAUUUAUUUCUGUCCUGGGCUACAUUUUCUUGAAAGUAUCUACAGAAAGUUGAAUGCCUAUUGACUGAUAGGUGAGAUAGAAACAACUGACAAGUGGAGCCAAGCAAAAGGACCCCCAGGCCUAAUGACCCAACCAAGUCUUGAGGGACUUCCAGAACAUCAAGAGGGAUGGCGCUAACCUAAUUUCAGUGGGGAGAAUAUUCCAUAAGGCAGGCACCACAGCAAAGAAGGCUGCCACCAUUACCCACCAAAUGUAAGUCCCUGGCAAAUGGCAUCCACAGCAUGUCUUUUCUGCUGGAUCUAAUGGGGCAAGCUGAUGUAGUUAACAUCCCUGAGAGCCAGCUUCUGCUCAAACACAUUCAGAGAACCAGAGUUCACCACUUCUCUGUCAGUAAUUGGUUCUGUGUUUAUACAACUGUAGCCCUUAAGAUGAUUCCUUAAUAUUCAACUAGAAGUUGACUUCUUGUAAUGGUAGCUUAAGAACAAUAUUUGGUAUCCUGAACUUAUUCCUGUUUGUCUAACAACUUAAAGCUGGAAGAGUUGAACAUAAUACCUGAACUGGAGGACCUUCAGCCUUGCUUUAAGUUAUCCUUAAUAUUUCAGGGAAACAGCCAGGUCAUAAUGAGUUAUUCCGUUUUGUAUACCAGCAAUAAAUAUUCAGAUCCAGAUACUGGCUUGACCAGCUUUAAGACAGGAUUGGGUACAUUAUACCAAUUUUCAAAGUUGUGGUAGGAGAAACUUCAAAAGGACCAAAGGAUAGAAAGUGGGAGAGGCAGAACAUUAAGAGGUGUUGAAUCAAGUAUGUUAAAGAAGAUGCUAGAAAUGCCUGAAGAAAGAAUGAGGUCAUGAAGGGAUGGGAGGAUGAAAACUAUAUGGGUGGAGCUCCAGGAGGCACUGUGGGACUUCAAAAUACACAGCUUUAGCCAGCAAGUCUAUAAUGAAAUCAUCAAGCAAAGAACACCAAGCCUGAAAGCCUUUUAUAAUUUAACUACUCUCUCUGUUAUAAGAUGACCUAUUGCAUAGAACUGUUGUCCAUAUAGCUCGAUUCUGCUGUCUUCUCUGACUGGCAGUGGUUCUUCAAGGUCUUGGAUUAAGACAUCUUUCCCAGAUGGUGAUUUUUUUCAAUUGGCACUACUGAGAUUUAGCAAUAGAAGAGAA
This is a non-coding RNA of Python bivittatus (Burmese python), 1817 nucleotides long. NCBI's taxonomy places the organism in Eukaryota, Metazoa, Chordata, Lepidosauria, Squamata, Pythonidae. The record is from RefSeq and is a predicted model, not a curated record.